This 1382-nucleotide ribosomal RNA is filed under the name uncultured bacterium. RNAcentral's name for it is "16S ribosomal RNA". It matches the Rfam family "Bacterial small subunit ribosomal RNA", at positions 20 to 1397 of the family's 1533-position model. The record is from RNAcentral.
UGGCUCAGGACGAACGCUGGCGGCGUGCCUAAUACAUGCAAGUCAAACGGGCUAUAGCUUCGGUUGUAGCAGCGUGGCGAACGGGUGAGUAACACGUAGACAACCUGCCUUAGAGAUGCGGAUAACAGUUCGAAAGGACUGCUAAUAGGUGAUAGGAUAUAGGAAGGCAUCUUCUUAUAUUUAAAGUUCCGUUUGGAACACUCUAAGAUGGGUCUGCGGUGCAUUAGCUAGUUGGUGAGGUAACGGCCCACCAAGGCAACGAUGCAUAGCUGUGCUGAGAGGCAAAACAGCCACACUGGGACUGAGACACGGCCCAGACUCCUACGGGAGGCAGCAGUAGGGAAUUUUCGGCAAUGGGCGAAAGCCUGACCGAGCAAUGCCGCGUGAAUGAAGAAAUUCUUCGGAAUGUAAAGUUCUGUUAUUGAGAACGAAUGGCAGGGAUAGGAAAUGAUCUCUGUUUGACGGUACUUGAUGAGAAAGCCCCGGCUAACUAUGUGCCAGCAGCCGCGGUAAUACAUAGGGGGCGAGCGUUAUCCGGAUUUAUUGGGCGUAAAGCGUGCGUAGGUGGUCUUUUAAGUCUGACGUGAAAUGCCAAAGCUUAACUUUGGAGGGUCGUUGGAAACUGGAGGACUUGAAUCUAGAAGAGGUAAGUGGAAUUCCAUGUGUAGCGGUAAAAUGCUUAGAUAUAUGGAGGAACACCAGUGGCGAAGGCGGCUUACUGGUCUAGUAUUGACACUGAGGCACGAAAGCGUGGGUAGCAAACAGGAUUAGAUACCCUGGUAGUCCACGCCGUAAACGAUGAGCACUAAGUGUCGGGCGAAAGCUCGGUGCUGAAGUUAACGCAUUAAGUGCUCCGCCUGGGGAGUACGGUCGCAAGACUGAAACUCAAAGGAAUUGACGGGGACUCGCACAAGCGGUGGAGCAUGUGGUUUAAUUCGACGCAACGCGAAAAACCUUACCAGGCCUUGACAUCCCUCUGCAACCCCUAGAGAUAGGGGCCUCACUUCGGUGACAGAGGUGAUAGGUGGUGCAUGGUUGUCGUCAGCUCGUGUCGUGAGAUGUUGGGUUAAGUCCCGCAACGAGCGCAACCCUUAUCAUUAGUUGCUAACAGUCAGAUGAGCACUCUAAUGAGACUGCCAGCGAUAAGUUGGAGGAAGGUGGGGAUGACGUCAAAUCAUCAUGCCCCUUAUGGCCUGGGCUACACACGUGCUACAAUGGCCGGUACAAAGAGCAGCAAUGCCGUGAGGCGGAGCAAAUCUCAAAAAGCCGGUCUCAGUUCGGAUUGUAGUCUGCAACUCGACUACAUGAAGUUGGAAUCGCUAGUAAUCGCGAAUCAGCAUGUCGCGGUGAAUACGUUCUCGAGUCUUGUACACACCGCCCGU